GCCCCGGUGGCUCAGCGGAAAGAGCGCCGCUCUACGGAAGCGGAGAGCCCAGGUUCGAAUCCUGUCGGGGCA
Molecule: transfer RNA, 72 nt
Filed under: Micromonospora sp. ATA51
Lineage: Bacteria; Bacillati; Actinomycetota; Actinomycetes; Micromonosporales; Micromonosporaceae
Description: tRNA-Arg
Rfam family: tRNA
About the family: Transfer RNA (tRNA) molecules are approximately 80 nucleotides in length. Their secondary structure includes four short double-helical elements and three loops (D, anti-codon, and T loops).
Source: RNAcentral